AAAAACAUGUCCUCUGGAUUAUUUAUAUGAGGUUUAACCUGCUCAAUGAUAUAAUUAAAUAGCCGCGGUAUUUUAACUGUGCUAAGGUAGCAUAAUAAUUUGUCUUUUAAUUGGGGGCUGGAAUGAAGGGUUGGACGAAUCUCUUACUUUCUUUAAUUUAAUUUUUUAGAAUUUUAUUUUUUAGUUAAAAAGCUAAGAUUUUAUUAUAGGACGAGAAGACCCUGUAGAUCUUAAUCAGUAUAUUAAUUUUAUAGUGUAGAUUAUUUAUUUAUAAGGAUAAAUAUCUUGAUUUAAUUGGGGUGAUUGUAAAAUUUUAAUAACUUUUAUUAAAUUAUUCAUUAAUUUAUGUAUAUUUGAUCCAUUUUUAAUGAUUAUAAGAUUAAGAUACCUCAGGGAUAACAGCGUAAUUUUUUUGGAGAGCUCUUAUCGAUAAAGAAGUUUGCGACCUCGAUGUUGGAUUAAAAUAAGUUCUGGGCGUAGCCGUUCAGAGUCUUGGUCUGUUCGACCUUUAAAUUUUUACAUGAUCUGAGUUCA
RNAcentral lists this ribosomal RNA (534 nucleotides) under Pasiropsis sp. n. 00052178. Its description in RNAcentral is "partial 16S ribosomal RNA". It matches the Rfam family "Bacterial large subunit ribosomal RNA", at positions 1809 to 2613 of the family's 2925-position model. The record is from RNAcentral. Lineage: Eukaryota; Metazoa; Arthropoda; Insecta; Hemiptera; Reduviidae.